AUGCACUCUCCUCUUGGCGUGCUGACUCGUUACACAACAGCUUCAUCGAUUCAGCCCUCUCACGUUCUUGAUUGCUUCAGCUCAUCGUUGAUUGAAUCGCUAUUCAGAGCGAUCCUCCCUCACGACUAUCGUCUCCAACGACCUCAACACAGCAUCGCCACCGUUUGCCUUGCGAUCACCGUCGACUCUCAAACUCUGAACUCGUCACUGUCUCUCUUUUUCGUUCAGUUAACAGCGGCUUCUUCUACGAAUACAACAUCUCCGCUGUGA
Non-coding RNA from Vicia faba (fava bean), 270 nucleotides. The record is from the annotation of a GenBank genome assembly. NCBI's taxonomy places the organism in Eukaryota, Viridiplantae, Streptophyta, Magnoliopsida, Fabales, Fabaceae.